This 452-nucleotide ribosomal RNA is filed under the name uncultured organism. RNAcentral's name for it is "partial 16S ribosomal RNA". It matches the Rfam family "Bacterial small subunit ribosomal RNA", at positions 331 to 799 of the family's 1533-position model. The record is from RNAcentral.
GUACACUCCUGCGGGAGGCAGCAGUGGGGAAUAUUGGACAAUGGGCGCAAGCCUGAUCCAGCCAUGCCGCGUGAGUGAUGAAGGCCCUAGGGUUGUAAAGCUCUUUCACCGGUGAAGAUAAUGACGGUAACCGGAGAAGAAGCCCCGGCUAACUUCGUGCCAGCAGCCGCGGUAAUACGAAGGGGGCUAGCGUUGUUCGGAUUUACUGGGCGUAAAGCGCACGUAGGCGGACUAUUAAGUCAGGGGUGAAAUCCCGGGGCUCAACCCCGGAACUGCCUUUGAUACUGGUAGUCUUGAGUUUGAGAGAGGUGAGUGGAAUUCCGAGUGUAGAGGUGAAAUUCGUAGAUAUUCGGAGGAACACCAGUGGCGAAGGCGGCUCACUGGCUCGAUACUGACGCUGAGGUGCGAAAGCGUGGGGAGCAAACAGGAUUAGAAACCCGUGUAGUCCCAUG